RNAcentral lists this transfer RNA (77 nucleotides) under Defluviicoccus sp. RNAcentral's name for it is "tRNA-Pro". It matches the Rfam family "tRNA". From Rfam's summary of the family: Transfer RNA (tRNA) molecules are approximately 80 nucleotides in length. The record is from RNAcentral. Lineage: Bacteria; Pseudomonadati; Pseudomonadota; Alphaproteobacteria; Rhodospirillales; Rhodospirillaceae.
CGGGGCGUGGCGCAGUCUGGUAGCGCACCUGCUUUGGGAGCAGGGGGUCGCAGGUUCGAAUCCUGCCGCCCCGACCA